GUGGGUAGAAAAUAUAUAGAGAAUAAAAAACCAUUUAAAGUUAAAAUGUAUAGGAUAAAUAAGUAACGUAUGGAAAAAUUCUUUACAGAAAGACUAUGAACACGACAAGGACUGGAAAUUCACCAAAAAAGGGAAAAAUCACGUAGAGGACCGUGCAAACAGACCUGGAAAACACGAGGUCGGAAUGGUCAAAGCAAUGGCGUAACCACCAUUCCAAGGAAACAUUAUACAAAUAUAGAGCAAUGGAAGACUUCUAGGAAAACAAAUCUAUGAUCCGACGAAGUCAAACACUAAAUAACGAGUCAAAG
This is a long non-coding RNA of Ceratina calcarata, 308 nucleotides long. RefSeq lists it as uncharacterized. Lineage: Eukaryota; Metazoa; Arthropoda; Insecta; Hymenoptera; Apidae. The transcript has 2 exons. The record is from RefSeq and is a predicted model, not a curated record.